This 61-nucleotide microRNA precursor is filed under the name Chlorocebus sabaeus (green monkey). Its description in RNAcentral is "miRNA (ENSCSAG00000025123.1)". Lineage: Eukaryota; Metazoa; Chordata; Mammalia; Primates; Cercopithecidae. The record is from RNAcentral.
GAGGGCAGCGUGGGUGUGGCGGAGUCAGGCGUGACCGUGUGCUGCCCUCUCGCUGCUCUAG